GAAUCACAGAAUUGGUGGGAAUCUGGUGGGACAUGGAGGAGGAAAUCCAGAGCAUUCCCAGUUGAUGUGAACUCAACCUUUGCUUGCAGAGCUCCAGCAAAGGUGAAGCCACCAGCUUUCUGGGUAACUGAUUUGAUGAGUCAUACCUCUUUAGUCUUACUCAGUUUCCCAUCAUUUCCUUCCUCUAUUAGUGACUAUCCUUCCAAUAGCCCCUUGAGUUAAUUUACGUAAAGGUAAAGGACCUUUGGAUGAUUAAGUCCAGUUAAAGGUGACUAUGGGGUUGCGGUGCUCAUGUCGCUUUCAGGCCAAGGGAGCUGGUGUUUGUCCACAGACAGCUUUCCGGGUCAUGUGGCAAGCAUGACUAAACAGCUUCUGGCGCAACGGGAUACCAUGACAGAAACCAGAGUGCACAGAAACACCAUUCACCUUCCCGCCACAGUGGUACCUAUUUAUCUAUUUGCACUGGCAUGCUUUUGAACUGCUAGGUUGGCAGGGGCUGGGACAGAGCAACGGGAGCUUACCCUGUUGUGGGGAUUCGAACUGCCAACCUUCUGAUUGGCAAGCCCAAGAGGCUCAGUACACUUAAAAUACUCCCCCCCCCCAUUUAACAGUCACGGCUUCCCCCAAAGAAUCUUGGGAACUGUAAUUGGUUAAGGGCAUUGGAAAUUCUAGCUCUCUGAGGGGACCCCCUAACAACCUCCCCCUCCCCCCUCAGCAGCUGCAAAUAUCUGGGAUCAGGCAGAAGGAUUUCCAGGUCAGUAGUGUUUGUCAUUAGCAUGGGGAUUGUGUGGAAGAUCAACUGUGUGUCAGCAAGUCAGGAGGUUAAAGAGCUACAAAGACGGUGUACAAGCAAAUCGAUAUUGUGGCUUAAUCAAGUGGCACUACAGAAGCAGAAUAGGUUAAAACUACACAAACAUGGCUUAGUUUCCUGUUAUUCCAAUGAACAGUGUGCGCUUCAUCCCCGCCCCCCCCCAAAGAGACAGAUGCAGUUUUGAACCCAACCAUGCUUGCUUUGCAGGAAUCUGAAUGGGAAAACAGUUUUUACAUAAUGUAAAUCACUACUUUUCCACAUCAGUUUGAUAUGUGAUAUUUUAGGAAAAGCCCUCAUAAAAUUUUGUCAGCUUUUUAGUGUACAUUUCUCCUGAAACACACAUUCUUGCAAGUAAAUGUUCCGUAACAUAAUGCAUAUUUGUAUGUUAUUUUCAUUAAUAUAUACAUUCAUUCAUAUAAUGCAUACAUUUCUCUAAUACUGUAUAUGCAUUUUUGCCAAUUUUGUGGGGUGGGGUGACAACACUGCAAAAUUUCCAGAAGUGCAAAUUUCAAAAGCUAGCUGUGUUUUGGUUUGUGUAUUGUUUCAGGAGGUGCAAACUGGGCAGUUUCGCAUGAAAAGGCGGACUGAGCCAAAUUUUUGUCCCUCUCUGGGAGCAGGGGUUGUCAUUUCCUGAACUGCCAGCAGUAAACUGUUUACACCUAUAGGCCUUCAUGAAUAAUGAACAGUAGUGAUUAUCAUUGCUCUCCUCUGUUUUGCUCACAGGUUACACUGUUUUCCGGAGCCGUGGCGAAUGAGAGUGCGACAUGUCAUUACAAUACAUUAACAGGGGUGAUUGUUGGCCCCAAUUUGCUUUCAACAAAGAGUUGGCCUUUAGUUACUUCCAGCAGGCACUGGCAAUUACUGAAUUUUUAAUACCCAAAUUCCCAGAUUUCACUUUAAAUGCCAUUUCAGGCCACGAUAGUGCCGAAAAUGGAUUGCCAUGCUGUAAAUUCCUCGAGAGGAGAAAUACUGUAAGAAAAUGGGGCAUUGUGAAUAUAUAUACACAAAUCAAAAUACUGC
This 1831-nucleotide long non-coding RNA is filed under the name Podarcis lilfordi (Lilford's wall lizard). The record is from RNAcentral. Lineage: Eukaryota; Metazoa; Chordata; Lepidosauria; Squamata; Lacertidae.